UAUACGAUAAUAUAAUUAAUAACUAUGAACCAUAAUAGUACUAAAUACCAAUAACCAAAACACUGUAAUGAGUUCACGUCUCCAAUGUGCGAGCAAACCCGUUAUUUGAAAAACUAUAACUAUUAAGUUUAGAUCUAUAUAAUACGUAUUACUUACAAGGAAAUAUCAAUUUUUGUUAUUUUAUCUGUUUGGAGAUAUAGAAAACC
This is a non-coding RNA of Cinara cedri, 206 nucleotides long. The record is from the annotation of a GenBank genome assembly. NCBI's taxonomy places the organism in Eukaryota, Metazoa, Arthropoda, Insecta, Hemiptera, Aphididae.